Molecule: long non-coding RNA, 1260 nt
Organism: Fundulus heteroclitus (mummichog)
Lineage: Eukaryota; Metazoa; Chordata; Actinopteri; Cyprinodontiformes; Fundulidae
Exons: 2
Source: RefSeq, a predicted model, not a curated record
GAGAGAGAGAGAGAGAGAGAUUAUUUUGUCAACUCAUUUUAUUAAAACAUUGAUUUUGUUAUGUAUGUCCCUUAGGCUAGGUUUAUUUAUUUAUAUAGCACUUUUCCUGUGCGAAAUAACUCAGUGCUUUGUGCUACCGAUGUAUGAAAAGUGCUUUAUAAAAACAGUGUAAUUAAUUCAUUCAUUCAUUUGCUUAUAAAAGGCUUAUCACGCGAGAGAGGAUAAUGUAGGUUACUGUGACAUAAUUACAGCUGUGACGACAUUACAGUAGGCUACAACACCACUCUCUUAUGUAAGAUAUUGCUUUACUGUUGUGAAUUAGUCAAAAAUCAAAUUAGCAAUAAGCCUACAUUUAGGCCUGUGCAUAAUAAAAUGAUGACAAACUUUAUACUGUGAACUUGUUCAAAACUCUUUAUCCUCAUACAAACCUAUAUCAUACAGUCAUCCUCAAAAUAAUAUCCCCCAGAAAAAAUUUGAUUCAGAAUUACUAUUCAGAAUUUAACCUGAAUUUAACAAAAACUAAUAAAUAAAAAUGCACUAAAUUAUAAUUUAGUGUAAUAAGAUAAUGCCAUGCCAUGAACAGUGGACCUGUCAACAGGUGUAGAAGUCUUUUUGAACAUUUGAUUGCAGUGAUUCUAUCAAAGUGCACCUCAACAAAAUGUUAGCUUCAGAUCCCCAUUGGGCUUGUUUACUUGUUUUAUUUGUGUGUUUCUUUUUAAUAUGUCUUUUAAACAAAAUUCCGAAUCAAUGUCAUGGUUUUAAGAUAAUUUUUAUUUUUUAUUACUUUUGUUAAUUUUAACUUAUUUCACUGACUUCUAUUUUAUUCCUUCUUUAAUUAGAGGGUUUGAGUUAUUUGAAGGACAACUAUCUAGCCAUGGGAUGUGACAACUCUAAUCUUGUGUUUUGUUUUAAAAGCAUUGGGGCUGUAUACGUACACUACAAGAUGGAGAGACAAAAGAACCCCUUGUUGGUGUUUCUGCAAGACCGUGGAACAAAUGAAGAAGUCUUAAGGAAACUUCAAAAUGAUAAGAUUGAUUCUUCUGUCAUUACACUGAUGUCAGAUGAAGAUCUGGCAACGUACAUCCCACAUUAUGGAGACAGAUUAGCAGCUGUCGCAUUCUGUCGCAUGAAUCACCGCCAAGAAUCAGCAGAAUCCAACAGAAAGGAGCUACUUGAAAAACUAAGAGAAAAGUGCUGUGCUCCAGGUAGUAAGGCAGUUAAAAGAAUGCACACUUUCGAGAGACUGAGAGGAAAUAAAAA